GACGAACGCUGGCGGCGUGCUUAACACAUGCAAGUCGAACGGGUCUGCCCUGUUUUUUGCGGGGUGGGUCAGUGGCGAACGGGUGAGUAACACGUGAGUAACCUGCCCCUCACUUCUGGAUAACCGCCUGAAAGGGUGGCUAAUACGGGGUGUUCUGGCUGUGCCGCAUGGUGUGGCUGGGAAAGAUUCACUUUUGUGGUGUUUUGGUGGGGGAUGGGCUCGCGGCCUAUCGGCUUGUUGGGGGGGUGAUGGCCUGCCAAGGCUUUGCCGGGUAGGCGGCCUGGGAGGGUGGGCGGUCAGACUGGGGCUGAGAGACGGCCCAGACUCCGGCGGGAGGCAGUAGUGGGGGGUAUUGCACAAUGGGCGGAAGCAUGAUGCAGCGACGUCGCGGGAGGGAUGGAGGCCUGCGGGUUGUGAACCUCUGUCGCCGGUGAAGAAGGUCCUGCUCUUUGCGGGGGGGUUGACGGUAGCCGGGUUAUGAAGCGCCGGCUAACUACGUG
RNAcentral lists this ribosomal RNA (500 nucleotides) under uncultured bacterium. RNAcentral's name for it is "partial 16S ribosomal RNA". It matches the Rfam family "Bacterial small subunit ribosomal RNA", at positions 28 to 507 of the family's 1533-position model. The record is from RNAcentral.